AACUAAUCCUCUUUGCUUUUAUCCUUCUUCACCUUCUUGGGAAAGCGUUCAUGUGGCCCUAACUGAACUUCAACAUGCAUUUGUUACCAAAGUGAUACAAAAUGACUAUGAAAGCUAUUCUUAAACCUAUAUAACAUUUCUAAAUGCAACUUGUCUGGAUUCUCUUUCCAUACCUCUCUUAACAUAGCACAACUAUCGAUCAACUUAGUUUCUAACUUAAAUAGAAGGUUCCCAACUCGCCUUCCACCUACAAUGGAAAC
RNAcentral lists this unclassified non-coding RNA (260 nucleotides) under Hevea brasiliensis (rubber tree). The record is from RNAcentral. Lineage: Eukaryota; Viridiplantae; Streptophyta; Magnoliopsida; Malpighiales; Euphorbiaceae.